RNAcentral lists this ribosomal RNA (477 nucleotides) under uncultured bacterium. Its description in RNAcentral is "partial 16S ribosomal RNA". It matches the Rfam family "Bacterial small subunit ribosomal RNA", at positions 28 to 507 of the family's 1533-position model. The record is from RNAcentral.
GAUGAACGCUGGCGGCGUGCCUAAUACAUGCAAGUCGAGCGAACGGACGAGAAGCUUGCUUCUCUGAUGUUAGCGGUGGACGGGUGAGUAACACGUGGAUAACCUACCUAUAAGACUGGGAUAACUUCGGGAAACCGUAGCUAAUACCGGAUAAUAUUUUGAACCGCAUGGUUCAAAAGUGAAAGACGGUCUUGCUGUCACUUAUAGAUGGAUCCGCGCUGCAUUAGCUAGUUGGUAAGGUAACGGCUUACCAAGGCAACGAUGCAUAGCCGACCUGAGAGGGUGGACGGCAACCGGGCGACGGAGAGAGGCAGCAGACGGCGAUGGGAGGCAACAGGUGGGAAUAUUGAAAAAUGGGCCGAAGGGAGAUGCAAAAACGCAGCGAGCGGGAUGCAGGUCUUCGGGUUGUAAACAGCGUUCGACUGAGACGACGCGUGAGGGACGGUAAUGGGUAAAGAAGCAACGGCUAACUACGUG